This 248-nucleotide ribosomal RNA is filed under the name uncultured Pseudomonas sp. RNAcentral's name for it is "partial 16S ribosomal RNA". It matches the Rfam family "Bacterial small subunit ribosomal RNA", at positions 1137 to 1382 of the family's 1533-position model. The record is from RNAcentral. Lineage: Bacteria; Pseudomonadati; Pseudomonadota; Gammaproteobacteria; Pseudomonadales; Pseudomonadaceae.
ACUCUAAGGAGACUGCCGGUGACAAACCGGGAGGAAGGUGGGGAUGACGUCAAGUCAUCCAUGGCCCUUACGGCCUGGGCUACACACGUGCUACAAUGGUCGGUACAAAGGGUUGCCAAGCCGCGAGGUGGAGCUAAUCCCAUAAAACCGAUCGUAGUCCGGAUCGCAGUCUGCAACUCGACUGCGUGAAGUCGGAAUCGCUAGUAAUCGUGAAUCAGAAUGUCACGGUGAAUACGUUCCCGGGCCUU